UAUAUUCACUACUGUAAGUUGCUCUGGAUAAGAGUGUCUGCUAAAUGACUAAAA
Non-coding RNA from Salmo salar (Atlantic salmon), 54 nucleotides. NCBI's taxonomy places the organism in Eukaryota, Metazoa, Chordata, Actinopteri, Salmoniformes, Salmonidae. The record is from Rfam.